AAAAACAAAAAAUAACGACAUGAUACAAAUAUAAAAAAAUUAUAAGAAAAAUGAGACGAUUGUUUGAGAAAUUCCACCUAAGAAAGGCAAAGAGUUACCUCUUUUAAGUGGAUUUUUUUUUUGUGCGAAGUUUGAGACGGAUUUUCACCGAAGCGUCGGGAUAAAUCCGAACUCUAAACUACAAUACCCAUUAAGCCAAAUAGUCGUUGUUAAAAAAAUAAAUUUACAUAAUGUUGCA
This 238-nucleotide long non-coding RNA is filed under the name Theobroma cacao (cacao). RNAcentral's name for it is "long non-coding RNA (TCAC_LNC005006)". Lineage: Eukaryota; Viridiplantae; Streptophyta; Magnoliopsida; Malvales; Malvaceae. The record is from RNAcentral.